This 849-nucleotide ribosomal RNA is filed under the name uncultured Fibrobacter sp. Its description in RNAcentral is "bacterial SSU rRNA". It matches the Rfam family "Bacterial small subunit ribosomal RNA", at positions 163 to 1015 of the family's 1533-position model. Lineage: Bacteria; Pseudomonadati; Fibrobacterota; Fibrobacteria; Fibrobacterales; Fibrobacteraceae. The record is from RNAcentral.
UUAAUGUCCAGGAGAGUGGCCUUCCGCAUGGAAGGCUGACUAGAGAUUCAUCGGUAUGGGAUGAGCUUGCGUCCGAUUAGCUAGUUGGCGGGGCAACGGCCCACCAAGGCGACGAUCGGUAGCCGGCCUGAGAGGGUGAUCGGCCACAUUGGGACUGAGAUACGGCCCAGACUCCUACGGGAGGCAGCAGUAGGGAAUAUUGCACAAUGGGGGAAACCCUGAUGCAGCAACGCCACGUGUGGGAAGAAGCAUUUCGGUGUGUAAACCACUGUCAUGAGGGUAUAAGGCCCUUAUCCGUAAGGGAUUGAAUGUACCUUGAGAGGAAGCACCGGCAAACUUCGUGCCAGCAGCCGCGGUAAUACGAGGGGUGCAAGCGUUGUUCGGAAUUACUGGGCGUAAAGGGAGCGUAGGCGGAGAUUCAAGCGGAUUGUACAAUCCCGGGGCCCAACCCCGGUUCUGCAGUCCGAACUGGAUCUCUCGGAUAGUUCAGGGGCAGGCGGAAUUCCUGGUGUAGCGGUGGAAUGCGUAGAGAUCAGGAAGAACACCGAUGGCGAAGGCAGCCUGCUGGGGACUCAUCGACGCUGAGGCUCGAAAGUGCGGGUAGCAAACAGGAUUAGAUACCCUGGUAGUCCGCACCGUAAACAAUGCAUACUGGGUGUCCGGGGGUUCCCCCGGGUACCGUAGCCAACGCGUUAAGUAUGCCGCCUGNNNAGUACGUACGCAAGUAUGAAACUCAAAGGAAUUGACGGGGGCCCGCACAAGCGGUGGAGCAUGCGGUUUAAUUCGAAGCAACGCGCAGAACCUUACCAGGGUUUGACAUGGAAACGCCGCGGCGAGAGAUAAUCACUA